RNAcentral lists this ribosomal RNA (389 nucleotides) under uncultured bacterium. RNAcentral describes it as "bacterial SSU rRNA". It matches the Rfam family "Bacterial small subunit ribosomal RNA", at positions 30 to 421 of the family's 1533-position model. The record is from RNAcentral.
AUUGAACGCUGGCGGAAUGCUUUACACAUGCAAGUCGAACGGUAGAGGGGGCAACCCCUUGAGAGUGGCGAACGGGUGAGUAAUAUAUCGGAACGUGCCCAGUCGUGGGGAUAACGUAGCGAAAGUUACGCUAAUACCGCAUACGAUCUACGGAUGAAAGCGGGGGACUCGCAAGAGCCUCGCGCGAUUGGAGCGGCCGAUAUCAGAUUAGGUAGUUGGUGGGGUAAAGGCUCACCAAGCCAACGAUCUGUAGCUGGUCUGAGAGGACGACCAGCCACACUGGAACUGAGACACGGUCCAGACUCCUACGGGAGGCAGCAGUGGGGAAUUUUGGACAAUGGGGCGCAAGCCUGAUCCAGCAAUGCCGCGUGCAGGAUGAAGGCCUUCGG